RNAcentral lists this long non-coding RNA (630 nucleotides) under Gossypium raimondii (Peruvian cotton). RNAcentral describes it as "long non-coding RNA (GRAI_LNC011039)". Lineage: Eukaryota; Viridiplantae; Streptophyta; Magnoliopsida; Malvales; Malvaceae. The record is from RNAcentral.
AAAAUUCUACUUAAAUUGUAUUCAAAUCUCCCAUUAGUUGAAUUAGAAAAACGAACAAAUGCCUAGAAAUAAUGCGAAAUUGUGAAAUAAAUCCAUUUAAAUCUACUAUAUAAUCACAUCAGGAUCGAGCAAAUCCAUCUUCCAAUACACAAUCUCCAAACAUCAACUUAAAGCAAACCCUAACUAAAAAGACAAACGUACAAAUCCCCUUCUUCAAGACGAAGUAAACUUAGUCACAGCUUUAGUCCCUUCAGAAACGGCAUGCUUCGCUAGCUCACCGGGAAGUACAAGCCUAACAGCAGUCUGGAUUUCCCUAGAAGUAAUGGUAGGUUUCUUGUUGUACCUCGCGAGUCUCGAAGCUUCUUGAGCAAGUUUCUCAAAGAUGUCAUUGAUGAAACUGUUCAUAAUGCCCAUAGCUUUGCUUGAGAUACCGAUAUCUGGAUGAACUUGUUUAAGGACCUUGAAGAUGUAGAUCUUGUAGGUUUCGGUACUCUUCUUGGUCCUCUUCUUCUUUUUGUCUCCGGCAGCUGCUCCGCCUUCCUUCGGUAGCUUUUUACCGGCCUUUGGCUUCUUCUCCGCCGGAGCUUUCUCAGCUACUGUUUUCUUCUCCUCCGCUGGUUUCUUCUCUGC